RNAcentral lists this transfer RNA (64 nucleotides) under Hydroporus puberulus. RNAcentral describes it as "tRNA-Arg". The record is from RNAcentral. Lineage: Eukaryota; Metazoa; Arthropoda; Insecta; Coleoptera; Dytiscidae.
AAAUAAGAAGUAAAAAUUACGUUUAGUUUCGACCUAAAAAUUUGGUAUUUAAUACCCUUAUUUA